This 497-nucleotide ribosomal RNA is filed under the name uncultured bacterium. RNAcentral's name for it is "partial 16S ribosomal RNA". It matches the Rfam family "Bacterial small subunit ribosomal RNA", at positions 28 to 507 of the family's 1533-position model. The record is from RNAcentral.
GACGAACGCUGGCGGCGUGCCUAAUACAUGCAAGUAGAACGCUGAAGAGAGGAGCUUGCUCUUCUUGGAUGAGUUGCGAACGGGUGAGUAACGCGUAGGUAACCUGCCUUGUAGCGGGGGAUAACUAUUGGAAACGAUAGCUAAUACCGCAUAACAAUGGAUGACACAUGUCAUUUAUUUGAAAGGGGCAAUUGCUCCACUACAAGAUGGACCUGCGUUGUAUUAGCUAGUAGGUGAGGUAAUGGCCCACCUAGGCGACGAUACAUAGCCGACCUGAGAGGGUGAUCGGCCACACUGGGACUGAGACACGGCCCAGACUCCUACGGGAGGCAGCAGUAGGGAAUCUUCGGCAAUGGGGGCAACCCUGACCGAGCAACGCCGCGUGAGUGAAGAAGGUUUUCGGAUCGGAAAGCUCUGUUGUAAGUCAAGAACGGGUGUGAGAGUGGAAAGUUCACACUGUGACGGUAGCUUACCAGAAAGGGACGGCUAACUACGUG